GGGUUGUGAGGUUAAGCGACUAAGCGUACACGGUGGAUGCCUAGGCAGUCAGAGGCGAUGAAGGGCGUGCUAAUCUGCGAUAAGCGUCGGUAAGCUGAUAUGAAGCGUUAUACCCGACGAUACCCGAAUGGGGAAACCCAGUGUGUUUCGACACACUAUCAUUAUGUGAAUACAUAGCAUAAUGAGGCGAACCGGGGGAACUGAAACAUCUCAGUACCCCGAGGAAAAGAAAUCAACCGAGAUUCCCCCAGUAGCGGCGAGCGAACGGGGAGGAGCCCAGAACCUGAAUCAGUUUGUGUGUUAGUGGAAGCGUCUGGAAAGUCGCACAGUAAAGGGUGAUAGUCCCGUACACAAAAAUGCACAAGUUGUGAGUUCGAUGAGUAGGGCGGGACACGUGACAUCCUGUCUGAAUAUGGGGGGACCAUCCUCCAAGGCUAAAUACUCCUGACUGACCGAUAGUGAACCAGUACCGUGAGGGAAAGGCGAAAAGAACCCCGGCGAGGGGAGUGAAAUAGAACCUGAAACCGUGUACGUACAAGCAGUGGGAGCCUACUUGUUAGGUGACUGCGUACCUUUUGUAUAAUGGGUCAGCGACUUAUAUUCUGUAGCAAGGUUAACCGUAUAGGGGAGCCGCAGGGAAACCGAGUCUUAACUGGGCGUUAAGUUGCAGGGUAUAGACCCGAAACCCGGUGAUCUAGCCAUGGGCAGGUUGAAGGUUGGGUAACACUAACUGGAGGACCGAACCGACUAAUGUUGAAAAAUUAGCGGAUGACUUGUGGCUGGGGGUGAAAGGCCAAUCAAACCGGGAGAUAGCUGGUUCUCCCCGAAAGCUAUUUAGGUAGCGCCUCGUGAAUUCAUCUUCGGGGGUAGAGCACUGUUUCGGCUAGGGGGUCAUCCCGACUUACCAACCCGAUGCAAACUACGAAUACCGAAGAAUGUUAUCACGGGAGACACACGGCGGGUGCUAACGUUCGUCGUGAAGAGGGAAACAACCCAGACCGCCAGCUAAGGUCCCAAAGUCAUGGUUAAGUGGGAAACGAUGUGGGAAGGCAUAGACAGCCAGGAUGUUGGCUUAGAAGCAGCCAUCAUUUAAAGAAAGCGUAAUAGCUCACUGGUCGAGUCGGCCUGCGCGGAAGAUGUAACGGGGCUAAACCAUGCACCGAAGCUGCGGCAGCGACACUUAGGUGUUGUUGGGUAGGGGAGCGUUCUGUAAGCCUGCGAAGGUGGCCUGUGAGGGCUGCUGGAGGUAUCAGAAGUGCGAAUGCUGACAUAAGUAACGAUAAUGCGGGUGAAAAACCCGCACGCCGGAAGACCAAGGGUUCCUGUCCAACGUUAAUCGGGGCAGGGUGAGUCGACCCCUAAGGCGAGGCUGAAAAGCGUAGUCGAUGGGAAACAGGUUAAUAUUCCUGUACUCGGUGUUACUGCGAAGGGGGGACGGAGAAAGCUAGGUUAUCCGGGCGACGGUUGUCCCGGUUUAAGCGUGAAGGUGGAUGACUUUGGUAAAUCCGGGUCAUUAUUAACACUGAGGCGUGAUGACGAGUCACUACGGUGAUGAAGUAACCGAUGCUACGCUUCCAGGAAAAGCCUCUAAGCUCCAGGUAACAUCAAAUCGUACCCCAAACCGACACAGGUGGUCAGGUAGAGAAUACUCAGGCGCUUGAGAGAACUCGGGUGAAGGAACUAGGCAAAAUGGUGCCGUAACUUCGGGAGAAGGCACGCUGAUGGUAGGUGAAGUGACUUGCUCAUGGAGCUGAAAUCAGUCGAAGAUACCAGCUGGCUGCAACUGUUUAAUAAAAACACAGCACUGUGCAAACACGAAAGUGGACGUAUACGGUGUGACGCCUGCCCGGUGCCGGAAGGUUAAUUGAUGGGGUCAGCCGCAAGGCGAAGCUCUUGAUCGAAGCCCCGGUAAACGGCGGCCGUAACUAUAACGGUCCUAAGGUAGCGAAAUUCCUUGUCGGGUAAGUUCCGACCUGCACGAAUGGCGUAAUGAUGGCCAGGCUGUCUCCACCCGAGACUCAGUGAAAUUGAACUCGCUGUGAAGAUGCAGUGUACCCGCGGCAAGACGGAAAGACCCCGUGAACCUUUACUAUAGCUUGACACUGAACCUUGAGCCUUGAUGUGUAGGAUAGGUGGGAGGCUUUGAAGCGUGGACGCCAGUCUGCGUGGAGCCAACCUUGAAAUACCACCCUUUAAUGUUUGAUGUUCUAACGUGGACCCGUAAUCCGGGUUGCGGACAGUGUCUGGUGGGUAGUUUGACUGGGGCGGUCUCCUCCCAAAGCGUAACGGAGGAGCACGAAGGUUAGCUAAUCCUGGUCGGACAUCAGGAGGUUAGUGCAAAGGCAUAAGCUAGCUUGACUGCGAGAGUGACAGCUCGAGCAGGUGCGAAAGCAGGUCUUAGUGAUCCGGUGGUUCUGAAUGGAAGGGCCAUCGCUCAACGGAUAAAAGGUACUCCGGGGAUAACAGGCUGAUACCGCCCAAGAGUUCAUAUCGACGGCGGUGUUUGGCACCUCGAUGUCGGCUCAUCACAUCCUGGGGCUGAAGUAGGUCCCAAGGGUAUGGCUGUUCGCCAUUUAAAGUGGUACGCGAGCUGGGUUUAGAACGUCGUGAGACAGUUCGGUCCCUAUCUGCCGUGGGCGUUGGAAGAUUGAGAGGGGUUGCUCCUAGUACGAGAGGACCGGAGUGAACGCACCACUGGUGUACGGGUUGUGAUGCCAAUUGCAUUGCCCGGUAGCUAAGUGCGGAAGAGAUAACCGCUGAAAGCAUCUAAGCGGGAAACUUGCCUCGAGAUGAGUCUUCCCUGGACACUUGAUGUCCCUGAAGGGCCGUUGAAGACGACGACGUAGAUAGGCUGGGUGUGUAAGCGUAGCGAUACGUUGAGCUGACCAGUACUAAUGACCCGAGAGGCUUAACCUUACAACACCGAAGGUGUUU
This 2934-nucleotide ribosomal RNA is filed under the name Pectobacterium brasiliense. RNAcentral's name for it is "23S ribosomal RNA". It matches the Rfam family "Bacterial large subunit ribosomal RNA". Lineage: Bacteria; Pseudomonadati; Pseudomonadota; Gammaproteobacteria; Enterobacterales; Pectobacteriaceae. The record is from RNAcentral.